GAUGAACGCUGGCGGCGUGCCUAAUACAUGCAAGUCGAGCGAACAGACGAGGAGCUUUCUCCUCUUACGUUAGCGGCGGACGGGUGAGUAACACGUGGAUAACCUACCUAUAAGACUGGGAUAACUUCGGGAAACCGGAGCUAAUACCGGAUAAUAUAUUCAACCGCAUGGUUCAAUAGUGAAAGACGUUUUUCCUGUCACUUAUAGAUGGAUCCGCGCCGCAUUAGCUAGUUGGUAAGGUAACGGCUUACCAAGGCGACGAUUCGUAGCCGACCUGAGAGGGUGAUCGGCCACACUGGAACUGAGACACGGUCCAGACUCCUACGGGAGGCAGCAGUAGGGAAUCUUGCGCAAUGGGCGCAAGCCUGACGGAGCAACGCCGCGUGAGUGAUGAAGGUCUUCGGAUCGUAAAACUCUGUUAUUAGGGAAGAACAAAUGUGUAAGUAACUAUGCACGUAUUGACGGUACCUAAUCAGAAAGCCACGGCUAACUCCGUG
RNAcentral lists this ribosomal RNA (497 nucleotides) under uncultured bacterium. Its description in RNAcentral is "partial 16S ribosomal RNA". It matches the Rfam family "Bacterial small subunit ribosomal RNA", at positions 28 to 507 of the family's 1533-position model. The record is from RNAcentral.